This 458-nucleotide long non-coding RNA is filed under the name Salmo salar (Atlantic salmon). RNAcentral describes it as "lncRNA (ENSSSAG00000083789.1)". The record is from RNAcentral. Lineage: Eukaryota; Metazoa; Chordata; Actinopteri; Salmoniformes; Salmonidae.
CCCCCUUCUCUCUCCCCCUCUCUCCCUUCUCUCUCCCCAACUCUCCCUCCUCUCUCCACCUCUCCCCUUCUCUCUCCGUCUCUUGCUCCAUCACUUCUACAACCGGUACUUCCAGUAGUGCCGCAUUGAGCUUCAAUGAACAUUUCCAGCUAUCAAAACCACCACCACUACCCCCUGGACCAGCCACGGACUACCCAGGUUUAGGUGACCCUAGCCAUGCUAGUGAUGGGAAUGGAGGGGCAUCUAUGAUGGAUGCCAGCAUCAUGACUUCCACAAGCUGUCUGUUCAAGCCAAGCCUACCACCACCACCACUUCCACCAAGGGGGGCCCUGUCGUCCGGCCUCUGCCCAUGCUCGGUGAGGGUUCCCAGGCACAGCUCCGGCCACCGAUGGCCUCCCCUUGAUGUCUCUCUCCAACCCCCUCUACAGAGAGUCUAUGAUGACUUCUCACAACUGUGC